AGUGAACGCUGGCGGUAGGCCUAACACAUGCAAGUCGAACGGCAGCACAGAGGAGCUUGCUCCUUGGGUGGCGAGUGGCGGACGGGUGAGGAAUACAUCGGAAUCUACUCUGUCGUGGGGGAUAACGUAGGGAAACUUACGCUAAUACCGCAUACGACCUACGGGUGAAAGCAGGGGACCUCCGGGCCUUGCGCGAUUGAAUGAGCCGAUGUCGGAUUAGCUAGUUGGCGGGGUAAAGGCCCACCAAGGCGACGAUCCGUAGCUGGUCUGAGAGGAUGAUCAGCCACACUGGAACUGAGACACGGUCCAGACUCCUGCGGGAGGCAGCAGUGGGGAAUAUUGGACAAUGGGCGCAAGCCUGGUCCAGCCAUACCGCGUGGGUGAAGAAGGCCUUCGGGUUGUAAAGCCCUUUUGUUGGGAAAGAAAUCCAUCUGGUUAAUACCCGGGUGGGAUGACGGUACCCAAAGAAUAAGCACCGGCUAACUUCGUGCCAGCCGCCGCAGUAA
RNAcentral lists this ribosomal RNA (506 nucleotides) under uncultured bacterium. Its description in RNAcentral is "partial 16S ribosomal RNA". It matches the Rfam family "Bacterial small subunit ribosomal RNA", at positions 29 to 523 of the family's 1533-position model. The record is from RNAcentral.